This 748-nucleotide long non-coding RNA is filed under the name Homo sapiens (human). Its description in RNAcentral is "novel transcript, antisense to ABCA12". The record is from RNAcentral. Lineage: Eukaryota; Metazoa; Chordata; Mammalia; Primates; Hominidae.
UGCCAGGGUUCACCACUAUCUUAGGAAUAUCAUGAAUAAAGCGUUAGAUUGGGUGUGCCCUAACUGAUGGUCACAAGCAUGAUACUAAUUAUCAGGGUGAACAAAGCAGGGGAGUAAGAGCAUCAGUAACUGUGAAACUCUAGGAGUUUGUCUUCAUUCUUUCAGUGAUAGAAUAUCUAGCAUUUGUAUUUCGUACAUCAUACACUUGAGUUAGUAUCUGUGGAAAGGAUAAAUACAUAAGGAAAAGAGAUGCAGGAAGCUGCAGAGACACUGGCCAUUUAUCUGAGAAGUGCCCAAUGAGGCAUCACCGGAUAAGCACACGUCGGGUCGUUCUCCUGCUUCAGUAAGGUCUGUGGCGUUGACAUUAUCAAUGCUAUGGAUGCCUCAAGGCUCUCAUAAAAAUACAUGGCUUCAGCAAUACGCAUGCAGUUAUCUCAGUUUAAAGGAAAUGGGUUCUGCUCCCUGCUUAAUAAGAAAUCCUGCUUACUUCUCCAGCUUUUGAAGCACAGAUUAUUUUUCUUCUCUUCAUCAUAUAAAAAUGGAAAUUAUCAAAACAAAACAUCAUCAAAACAAAACAUCAUCAAAAACAGGUUGCUCUCUGAGUAAAGGUUUUAUGUUUGUUUGGGAUAGAAUCUCAUUCUGUCACCCAGGCCAGAGAGCACUGACAUUAUCAUGGCUCACUGCAACCUCAAACUCCCAAGCUCAAGCGAUCCUCCCACCUCAGCCUCCCAAGUAGCUGGGACCACAG